Small nuclear RNA from Toxorhynchites rutilus septentrionalis, 141 nucleotides. RefSeq annotates it as U4 spliceosomal RNA. NCBI's taxonomy places the organism in Eukaryota, Metazoa, Arthropoda, Insecta, Diptera, Culicidae. The record is from RefSeq and is a predicted model, not a curated record. The transcript has a single exon.
AGCUUUGCGCAGUGGCGAUAUCGUAACCAAUGAGGUUCUACCGAGGUGCGAUUAUUGCUAGUUGAAAAAAAAAAAAAAAAAAACGAGUGAUAACAAUGAUAAUCUGUCUUUAGAACCAAAUGCUGAUAUUUGGAUUGUCGU